CACGUAGGGCGCGAGCGUUGUCCGGAAUUAUUGGGCGUAAAGAGCUCGUAGGCGGCCUGUUGCGUCCGCUGUGAAAGCCCGGGGCUUAACCCCGGGUCGGCAGUGGAUACGGGCAGGCUAGAGGUAGGCAGGGGAGAAUGGAAUUCCCGGUGUAGCGGUGAAAUGCGCAGAUAUCGGGAGGAACACCGGUGGCGAAGGCGGUUCUCUGGGCCUGACCUGACGCUGAGGAGCGAAAGCGUGGGGAGCGAACAGG
This 253-nucleotide ribosomal RNA is filed under the name uncultured bacterium. RNAcentral's name for it is "partial 16S ribosomal RNA". It matches the Rfam family "Bacterial small subunit ribosomal RNA", at positions 524 to 776 of the family's 1533-position model. The record is from RNAcentral.